CCUACGGGAGGCAGCAGUGGGGGAUAUUGCACAAUGGGGGGAACCCUGAUGCAGCGACGCCGCGUGGGUGAAGAAGCGCCUCGGCGCGUAAAGCCCUGUCAGCAGGGAAGAAAAUGACGGUACCUGAAGAAGAAGCCCCGGCUAACUACGUGCCAGCAGCCGCGGUAAUACGUAGGGGGCAAGCGUUAUCCGGAUUUACUGGGUGUAAAGGGGGCGCAAACGGCGAUGCAAGCCAGGAGUGAAAGCCCGGGGACCAACCCCGGGACUGCUCUUGGAACUGCGUGGCUGGAGUGCAGGAGGGGCAGGCGGAAUUCCUGGUGUAGCGGUGAAAUGCGUAGAUAUCAGGAGGAACACCGGUGGCGAAGGCGGCCUGCUGGACUGCAACUGACGUUGAGGCCCGAAAGCGUGGGGAGCAAACAGGAUUAGAUACCCUUGUAGUU
This 440-nucleotide ribosomal RNA is filed under the name uncultured bacterium. RNAcentral describes it as "partial 16S ribosomal RNA". It matches the Rfam family "Bacterial small subunit ribosomal RNA", at positions 338 to 795 of the family's 1533-position model. The record is from RNAcentral.